UUAAUUGAAGCCGAAAAAGAGGCCUUUCAUUGUUAAUGAAAUAAUUGAUUUUAAAAAUCCAAUUAAA
Molecule: transfer RNA, 67 nt
Filed under: Corizus sp. 'albomarginatus'
Lineage: Eukaryota; Metazoa; Arthropoda; Insecta; Hemiptera; Rhopalidae
Description: tRNA-Asn
Source: RNAcentral